This 254-nucleotide ribosomal RNA is filed under the name uncultured bacterium. RNAcentral's name for it is "partial 16S ribosomal RNA". It matches the Rfam family "Bacterial small subunit ribosomal RNA", at positions 524 to 777 of the family's 1533-position model. The record is from RNAcentral.
UACGGGGGGGGCAAGCGUUGUUCGGAAUUACUGGGCGUAAAGGGCUCGUAGGCGGCCAACUAAGUCAGACGUGAAAUCCCCAGCUCAACCUGGGAACUGCGUCUGAUACUGGAUGGCUUGAAUCCGGGAGAGGGAUGCAGAAUUCCAGGUGUAGCGGUGAAAUGCGUAGAUAUCUGGAGGAAUACCGGUGGCGAAGGCGGCAUCCUGGACCGGCAUUGACGCUGAGGAGCGAAAGCUAAGGGGAGCAAACGGGG